Molecule: ribosomal RNA, 253 nt
Filed under: uncultured bacterium
Lineage: Bacteria
Description: partial 16S ribosomal RNA
Rfam family: Bacterial small subunit ribosomal RNA
Source: RNAcentral
UACAGAGGGGGCAAGCGUUAUUCGGAAUUAUUGGGCGUAAAGGGCGCGUAGGCGGCUUUGCAAGUGAGGGGUGAAAUCCCUCGGCUUAACCGAGGAACUGCCUGUCAGACUGCAUGGCUUGAGACCAGGAGAGGUGAGUGGAAUUCCCAGUGUAGCGGUGAAAUGCGUAGAUAUUGGGAGGAACACCAGUGGCGAAGGCGGCUCACUGGACUGGUACUGACGCUGAGGCGCGAAAGCGUGGGGAGCAAACAGG